UACUUCAGGUCAAGGUGCAGUUUAUAUGGAGGUGGAGGUGAGCUACAAUUUUCUUUACAAAUAUGGAUAUUAAGCCUCGAAGCUGGUUGAAGGUGGAUUUAUUAGUAAAGUA
This 112-nucleotide ribosomal RNA is filed under the name Daphnia longispina. RNAcentral describes it as "partial 12S ribosomal RNA". Lineage: Eukaryota; Metazoa; Arthropoda; Branchiopoda; Diplostraca; Daphniidae. The record is from RNAcentral.